GAUGAACGCUAGCUACAGGCUUAACACAUGCAAGUCGAGGGGCAGCGCAGUGUAGCAAUACAUGGGCGGCGACCGGCGCACGGGUGCGUAACGCGUAUCCAACCUUCCCGUUACUCAGGGAUAGCCUUCCGAAAGGGAGAUUAAUACCUGAUGGUGUUGAAAUUCCGCAUGUUAUUUCAACUAAAGAUUUAUCGGUAACGGAUGGGGAUGCGUGACAUUAGAUAGUAGGCGGGGUAACGGCCCACCUAGUCUACGAUGUCUAGGGGUUCUGAGAGGAAGGUCCCCCACACUGGAACUGAGACACGGUCCAGACUCCUACGGGAGGCAGCAGUGAGGAAUAUUGGUCAAUGGUCGGAAGACUGAACCAGCCAAGUAGCGUGAAGGAUGAAGGUUCUAUGGAUUGUAAACUUCUUUUAUACGGGAAUAAAACCUCCCACGUGUGGGAGCUUGUAUGUACCGUAUGAAUAAGCAUCGGCUAACUCCGUGCCAGCAGCCGCGGU
RNAcentral lists this ribosomal RNA (500 nucleotides) under uncultured bacterium. Its description in RNAcentral is "bacterial SSU rRNA". It matches the Rfam family "Bacterial small subunit ribosomal RNA", at positions 28 to 521 of the family's 1533-position model. The record is from RNAcentral.